UGGUGGAGGGCGGGUAGACAGUGUUAACGACAGUGAGGGCUUGAAAUCGCUGUUUCCGGCACGGACGCCGGAAACCCGGCCACGAGCCAUGGACGGCGAUUUGGCCGGGUUCAGCGAUUUCAACUGAACGGAGUUUUACACUGUCUCCGCCCGUAACCU
Thermincola sp. is the source of this 159-nucleotide regulatory RNA element. Lineage: Bacteria; Bacillati; Bacillota; Clostridia; Eubacteriales; Thermincolaceae. The record is from Rfam.